GAGCCGGAGGGAAACCGAGUCUUAACCGGGCGUUAAGUUGCAGGGUAUAGACCCGAAACCCGGUGAUCUAGCCAUGGGCAGGUUGAAGGUUGGGUAACACUAACUGGAGGACCGAACCGACUAAUGUUGAAAAAUUAGCGGAUGACCUGUGGCUGGGGGUGAAAGGCCAAUCAAACCGGGAGAUAGCUGGUUCUCCCCGAAAGCUAUUUAGGUAGCGCCUCGUGAAUUCAUCUCCGGGGGUAGAGCACUGUUUCGGCUAGGGGGCCAUCCCGGCUUACCAACCCGAUGCAAACUGCGAAUACCGGAGAAUGUUAUCACGGGAGACACACGGCGGGUGCUAACGUCCGUCGUGAAGAGGGAAACAACCCAGACCGCCAGCUAAGGUCCCAAAGUCAUGGUUAAGUGGGAAACGAUGUGGGAAGGCCCAGACAGCCAGGAUGUUGGCUUAGAAGCAGCCAUCAUUUAAAGAAAGCGUAAUAGCUCACUGGUCGAGUCGGCCUGCGCGGAAGAUGUAACGGGGCUAAACCAUGCACCGAAGCUGCGGCAGCGACGCUGAUGCGUUGUUGGGUAGGGGAGCGUUCUGUAAGCCUGCGAAGGUGGCCUGUGAGGGUUGCUGGAGGUAUCAGAAGUGCGAAUGCUGACAUAAGUAACGAUAAAGCGGGUGAAAAGCCCGCUCGCCGGAAGACCAAGGGUUCCUGUCCAACGUUAAUCGGGGCAGGGUGAGUCGACCCCUAAGGCGAGGCCGAAAGGCGUAGUCGAUGGGAAACGGGUUAAUAUUCCCGUACUUGGUGUUACUGCGAAGGGGGGACGGAGAAGGCUAUGUUGGCCGGGCGACGGUU
Molecule: ribosomal RNA, 839 nt
Filed under: Salmonella enterica
Lineage: Bacteria; Pseudomonadati; Pseudomonadota; Gammaproteobacteria; Enterobacterales; Enterobacteriaceae
Also listed under: 1 other name
Description: partial 23S ribosomal RNA
Rfam family: Bacterial large subunit ribosomal RNA
Source: RNAcentral